UAUCUAUGAUGAUAUCCAUAAGGUUUCGCAUUUGUCUGAAUAUAUUCCCAAUGAUGAUAAACCUUGGCUGUCUGAAGUA
Non-coding RNA from Stomoxys calcitrans (stable fly), 79 nucleotides. The record is from Rfam. NCBI's taxonomy places the organism in Eukaryota, Metazoa, Arthropoda, Insecta, Diptera, Muscidae.